Molecule: unclassified non-coding RNA, 153 nt
Filed under: uncultured Capnodiales
Lineage: Eukaryota; Fungi; Ascomycota; Dothideomycetes; Capnodiales
Description: sequence contains ITS1
Source: RNAcentral
CCGAGUGAGGGUCUCCGGCCCGACCUCCAACCCUUUGUUGACCAACACCUGUUGCCUCGGGGGCGACCCGGACGCCGACGCGUCGGCGUCGGGCACCCCGAUGGACCAUUUCAACCCUGUAUCUGUACGUCGGAGUGAUUAGCGAAUCAAUCA